AGAGUUUGAUCCUGGCUCAGGAUGAACGCUAGCGGGAGGCCUAACACAUGCAAGUCGAGCGGGAUUGGCAGCAAUGCCAUGAGAGCGGCGCACGGGUGAGUAACGCGUAUGCAACCUACCUUAAACAGGGGGAUAGCCCAUGGAAACGUGGAUUAAUACCCCGUAUUAUUAUAUAUCCGCAUGGAUUUAUAAUCAAAGCUCCGGCGGUUUAAGAUGGGCAUGCGUGACAUUAGUUAGUUGGUGAGGUAACGGCUCACCAAGACUACGAUGUCUAGGGGUUCUGAGAGGAUGAUCCCCCACACUGGUACUGAGACACGGACCAGACUCCUACGGGAGGCAGCAGUGAGGAAUAUUGGUCAAUGGGCGCAAGCCUGAACCAGCCAUCCCGCGUGAAGGAUGACGGCCCUAUGGGUUGUAAACUUCUUUUCUGUACCAAGAAACAAUCCCUCGCGAGGGGUCUUGACGGUAGUACGGGAAUAAGGAUCGGCCAACUACGUGCCAGCAGCCGCGGUAAUACGUAGGAUCCGAGCGUUGUCCGGAAUUACUGGGUGUAAAGGGUCUGCAGGCGGGCAAACAAGUCGGUGGUGAAAUCCUAUAGCUCAACUAUAGAACUGCCUCCGAUACUGUUUGUCUUGAGUUCGAGAGAGGGUAAUGGAAUUCAUGGUGUAGCGGUGAAAUGCGUAGAUAUCAUGAAGAACACCAGUUGCGAAGGCGAUUACCUGGCUCGACACUGACGCUCAGGGACGAAAGCGUGGGGAUCAAACAGGAUUAGAUACCCUGGUAGUCC
Molecule: ribosomal RNA, 787 nt
Filed under: uncultured bacterium
Lineage: Bacteria
Description: bacterial SSU rRNA
Rfam family: Bacterial small subunit ribosomal RNA
Source: RNAcentral